Molecule: ribosomal RNA, 492 nt
Filed under: uncultured bacterium
Lineage: Bacteria
Description: partial 16S ribosomal RNA
Rfam family: Bacterial small subunit ribosomal RNA
Source: RNAcentral
AUUGAACGCUGGCGGCAUGCUUUACACAUGCAAGUCGAACGGUAACAGGCCUUCGGGUGCUGACGAGUGGCGGACGGGUGAGUAAUGCAUCGGAACGUACCCAGAGGUGGGGGAUAACGCAGCGAAAGCUGUGCUAAUACCGCAUGUGAUCUGAGGAUGAAAUCGGGGGACCGAGCAGCAAUGUUUGGCCUCGCGCCUUUGGAGCGGCCGAUGUCGGAUUAGCUAGUUGGAGGGGUAAAGGCCUACCAAGGCGAAGAUCCGUAGCUGGUCUGAGAGGACGACCAGCCACACGAGGACGGAGACACGGCCCAGACUCCUACGGGAGGCAGCAGUGGGGAAUGUUGGACAAUGGGCGCAAGCCUGAUCCAGCAAUGCCGAGUGCGGGAAGAAGGCCUUCGGGUUGUAAACCGCUUUUGGCAGGAACGAAACGGUGUCCGCUAAUACCGGGCGCUAAUGACGGUACCUGCAGAAUAAGCACCGGCUAACUACGUG